CCCUUAGAUGUUCUGGGCCGCACGCGCGCUACACUGAUGCAUUCAACGAGUCUAAAACCUGCUCUGAUAGGGGUGGGUAAUCUUUUGAAUGUGCAUCGUGAUUGGGAUAGAUGAUUGAAAUUUUUCAUCUUCAACGAGGAAUGCCUAGUAAACGCAAGUCAUCAGCUUGCAUUGAUUACGUCCCUGCCCUUUGUACGCACCGCCCGUCGCUCCUACCGAUUGAAUGAUCCGAUGAAUAUCAUGGAUUGAGGAUGCAAGUAGGUUCACCUAUCUUCAUCUUCGAGAAGUGAAGUAAAUCUUAUCAUUUAGAGGAAGGAGAAGUCGUAACA
This 329-nucleotide ribosomal RNA is filed under the name uncultured eukaryote. Its description in RNAcentral is "partial 18S ribosomal RNA". It matches the Rfam family "Eukaryotic small subunit ribosomal RNA", at positions 1470 to 1796 of the family's 1831-position model. The record is from RNAcentral.